RNAcentral lists this long non-coding RNA (1164 nucleotides) under Struthio camelus australis. RNAcentral's name for it is "lncRNA (ENSSCUG00000012383.1)". The record is from RNAcentral. Lineage: Eukaryota; Metazoa; Chordata; Aves; Struthioniformes; Struthionidae.
AUGCAUCAAACUACUACCCUCUGCUGCUCUUCCAUGUGGGCGCUAACAACACGAAAGGCAAAUUGGAAACCAUCACACAGGACUCCAGAGCUCUGGGGAUGGUGGUGAAGGGUGUGGGAGCCCAGGUCGUUUUCUCCUCAAUCCUGCCUGUGAGGGGGAAGGACGGGAGGAGGAGUAGAUGAGCUUUCCAAGUUAACAACUGGCUGCGCCGCUGGUGUUGGCAACAGGGCUUUGGUUUCUAUGGCCAUGGGACCCGGUUUGAAGAUCAACAGCUGAUGAAGAGCGAUGGGAUCCACCUCACUAAGCGGGGCACACGUGUCUGUCUUUGCCAACAGGUUGGCCAGCCUGGUAAGGAGGGCUUUAAACUAGGCAAGAUGCGGGAAGGGGAGUGCUAUAGUGACACUGUACUCAUUAAAACACCGCUCAAGUCAGGAUGCAGAAGGAAGACUAGGGAAAAUGUGGGCCCACUGCUGAAUGGGGCGAGUGCCCUGGUAACAAAGGAUAUAGAGAGGGCAGAGUUACUGAAUGCUGCCUUUGCUUCAGUCUUCACUGCUAAGGCCAGCCCUCAGCAAUUCCAGACCCUGGGGACAAGAGAGGAAGGCUGGAGAAAGGAAGACUCUCCCUUGGUGGAGGAGGAUCGGGUUAGAGAUCUUUUGUCCAAACCUGACAUCCAUAAAUCCAUGGGCCCUGAUGGGCUGCACCCACGAGUGCUGAGGGAGCUGGCGGAUGUUAUCGCUAGGCCACUCUCCAUCCUCUUGGAAAGGUCCUGGAGAUCAGGAGAGGUGCCUGAGGCCUGGAAGAAAGCCAAUGUCACGCCAGUCUUCCAAAAGGGCAAGAAGGAGGAGCCAGGAAACUACAGGCCUGUCAGCCUCACCUCCAUCCCGGGAAAGCUGAUGGAACAGCUCCUCCUGGAGGUCCUCACUAAGCAUGUGGAGGACAAGAAAGUGAUCAGGAGUAGUCAGCAUGGAUUCACCAAAGGGGAAUCGUGCUUGACCAACCUGAGAGCCUUCUCAGAUGGACUGACUGGCUGUGUGGAUGAGGGUAGAGCAGUGGAUGUUGUCUGCCUGGACUUCAGCAAGGCUUUGGACACUGUCUCCCAUCACAUCCUCCUAGGUAANNNNNNNNNNNNNNNNNNNNNNNNNNNNNNNNNNNNNNNNNNNNNNN